UACGUAGGGGCAAGCGUUGUCCGGAAAUCACUGGGCGUAAAGGGCGCGUAGGUGGCCUGUGGAAGUCUGCGAUGAAAGCCCGGCGCUCAACGCCGGGUCGGCCGUGGAUACUCUCGGGCUUGAGCUUACUAGAGGCAGAUGGAAUUCCGGGUGUAGCGGUGGAAUGCGCAGAUAUCAGGAGGAACACCAAUGGCGAAGGCAGCUCGCUGGGACGGUACUGAGCUGGAGGCGCGAAAAGCGUGGGGGAGC
Molecule: ribosomal RNA, 249 nt
Filed under: uncultured bacterium
Lineage: Bacteria
Description: partial 16S ribosomal RNA
Rfam family: Bacterial small subunit ribosomal RNA
Source: RNAcentral